This 74-nucleotide transfer RNA is filed under the name Bacillota bacterium. RNAcentral describes it as "Firmicutes bacterium (anaerobic digester metagenome) tRNA-Gln". It matches the Rfam family "tRNA". From Rfam's summary of the family: Transfer RNA (tRNA) molecules are approximately 80 nucleotides in length. Their secondary structure includes four short double-helical elements and three loops (D, anti-codon, and T loops). The record is from RNAcentral. RNAcentral also lists the same sequence under 1 other name. Lineage: Bacteria; Bacillati; Bacillota.
UGCGGGAUGGUGUAGCGGUAACACGCAUGACUCUGGAUCAUGAAUCCCAGGUUCGAUCCCUGGUCCCGCAGCCA